GAGAUCGGGAUAACACCUGGAAACAGAUGCUAAUACCGGAUAACAACAGAUGAUGCCUAUCAACUGUUUAAAAGAUGGUUCUGCUAUCGCUCUUGGGAUGGGACCUGCGGUGCAUUAGCUAGUUGGUAGGGGUAACGGGCCUACCAAGGCGAUGAUGCAUAGCCGAGUUGAGAGACUGAUCGGCCACACUGGGACUGAGACACGGCCCAAACUCCUGCGGGAGGCAGCAGUAGGGAAUCUUCCACAAUGGACGCAAGUCUGAUGGAGCAACGCCGCGUGAGUGAAGAAGGGUUUCGGCUCGUAAAGCUCUGUUGUUGGUGAAGAAGGACAGGGGGUAGUAACUGACCUUUGUUUGACGGUAAUCAAUUAGAAAGUCACGGCUAACUACGUGCCAGCAGCCGCGGUAAAU
RNAcentral lists this ribosomal RNA (409 nucleotides) under uncultured Lactobacillus sp. RNAcentral's name for it is "bacterial SSU rRNA". It matches the Rfam family "Bacterial small subunit ribosomal RNA", at positions 134 to 525 of the family's 1533-position model. Lineage: Bacteria; Bacillati; Bacillota; Bacilli; Lactobacillales; Lactobacillaceae. The record is from RNAcentral.